AACGAAGAGGGCGAGUGUUAUUCAUAGUGAUUGGGCGUAAAGGGUACGUAGACGGUGUUUCAAGUUCCUAACUAAAAACCCACGGCAUAACCGUGGUAAUGGGGAAUACUGUAAUCACUUGGAGUCUAGCAGAGGUUUAGUGGUAUUUUUAAGGUAAAAGUAACAAUUAUCGAUCUUAAGGAGACCCCCGAAGGCGAAAGCAACUGACCAGGUUAGACUGACGUUAAGGUACGGAGGCAUGGGUAUCAAACAGG
Molecule: ribosomal RNA, 254 nt
Filed under: uncultured bacterium
Lineage: Bacteria
Description: partial 16S ribosomal RNA
Rfam family: Bacterial small subunit ribosomal RNA
Source: RNAcentral